Symsagittifera roscoffensis is the source of this 1493-nucleotide RNA transcript. It is a transcript of the gene named trichohyalin-like, with no coding region annotated. The record is from RefSeq and is a predicted model, not a curated record. The transcript is spliced from 3 exons. Lineage: Eukaryota; Metazoa; Xenacoelomorpha; Acoela; Convolutidae.
ACAGGAGUUGAGAGAGAUGCAAAGACAAUUCUCGCAGCAGAUGGAAACUUUGAAGCGAAAAACUGAAGAAGAUCGUGAGAGAAUGGAGAAGAAACACGUGGCGGAGUUGGCGAAACUGGCCGAGGAAAGAGAGAAGGUUCGGGAAAUGUUAGAGGCGAAAGUUGAGAAGCUGAAACAAGACAUGACCAAUCAGCUGAUGAAGAAACAGGCAGAACAUGACAGGUUGCAAAAACAGUUCGAUGAUCAAAGCGAGAAGUACAAACAGGCGCUUGAAGACAAACUGGAGAGAAAUCAGAAACAGCAAGAGGAGCUGGAGGCGAAGUUGGUAACUGAACAAAGCAACUCCAAGUUGGCGGAUCAAAUUGAGCAGCUGAAGUUGCAGCAGCAAAAGAUGGAAGAGCAGUUCAGACGAGAGAGGGCGGAGCAAGAGGCGGAGCUGAAUGCAAAGCAGGAGCAGAUUAAGAAGCAGGUGCGGGAAGUGGAGGAGAAGUUUGAGAGACAGAAGGCGGAGGAGAGAAAGAAGUUGGGGGCGAGAGUGGCCGAGGCGGAGGAGAAGUUGAGACAACAGCAGAGUGUGGCAGCUGCCAAAGCACUGGCAGAGCAGAGACAGAAAGAGGAACUGGCCAACCAAGCUCAGUGGAAGAAGACUGCGGACACAAGGUUGAGAGGAUCAGAAGGGGAGAUCACAACUGCCUUUAUGAAUGCAUACCCUGAGAGCAGUUGGUUCAUCUAUGCCAAUGCUAAAGACAGUGACAGUAGUUUCAAGUGUAAUGAUGGAGUGGGUGAGACAGCAGAGUGGAAGAACAAGACAGAGUACCCCUACAACAUGCACAUCUACACUGUCCCACACUCAGACUACAACAGUCACAUAGCAGCAACUGAUGAGGAGAGGGAGAAGGCAGAGAGUGUGAUGAAGAGUGUGUUGUCUGAUAUGGAGAGUAGAAGGGGUAUGACACCACAGAAGAUGAGGGAUGAGGUCAUCACCCGUCUGGGCAGAAGUGGACUCAAGUGGAUGUAUGUUAGAGUGGGGACAGGAGGUGGAUGUGGGUAUGAUUAUUCUAUUCCGAGUCGCUAUGUUCAUACACAUGGCUCCACCUACGGUAUUGACAUCUACCUAGGAGACUAAACAUGUAGCAACAGUGGACUACUUCAACCUCACUCCAUUGGAUACUCUAAUACACACUCAUCCGCUCUACCAUCCUUCUUCAAUCCUUCCACCCAUCUCUCUCUCUCUCUCUCUCCACUCAUGUGCUAUGCUAUAUUCUCAACACAUCAUCCUUAUCUCUCAUUUCCAUAUCGCCAUCACAUGAACUCUUACACAAUAUAUAACAAGACUGCUCGUAUCAGGGCGAAGCCCUGAAUGUUCCGACUGCCUUUUAAGUACUGAAAGUUUUUUCCUGUCACUGAUAUGACCACUCCAACAUUGAUGAUUGGCGAGGAUGAUGUCUGCAAUGUCAGUGUGCAAAUUUCCCGAACAGUACUCUGGAGAAGAG